This 778-nucleotide long non-coding RNA is filed under the name Malus domestica (apple). Its description in RNAcentral is "long non-coding RNA (MDOM_LNC001074)". Lineage: Eukaryota; Viridiplantae; Streptophyta; Magnoliopsida; Rosales; Rosaceae. The record is from RNAcentral.
ACGACCGCAAGUUUUCUAUAAAUACAAGGCAUUCUGCAACAGAAAAAAGAAUCUCCAACACACACACAAAACUGCCCUGCGCAAACUUUCUCAACACCUUGAGAAUUUUUAUUUUCUUUUUUCGCCGACACAUCUUCCGUUGGCAUCAACAGCACUGUGAAGGCAACCGGUGAUAUCUUAAGUCGGCAUAGAUAGCUCUGUCACCGUAGAAUCAGCCGAUCUCGCAGCAUCUUCCGUUGGCAUCAACAGCACUACGGCGAGGACGACUGGUUACCUAUCCAAGUCUCGGUCGAGAAGGAUUUCCGAAUCCUUAUUGGUCGAGGUCAUCUCAUCAGCCUUCUCGGCGAAGUGAGGUGUUACCAGGUUACUGUAUUCGGCACAUUGACAGCCGAAUUUGAGAUUGAACUUCGCAAAUUAGCAGCCUUGUCUUCAGGCUCUAGAACCCAAGAGGCCGAGAAUUGUUCCUUCCUCGGCCGCAAUCGCAAGACACAGAAGUCAGCAGCGCGCUCAACGCAACAUCAUCAAAUUUACUCCUCGGCCGAGCUCGGCCGACGAGUUGGCACGCCCCGCAAUCACCGAAGGACGUAGUUAGCUUAGAAAAUACUCGGCCUGCGCGCCACGUAGGCUUUGUAAUUUCUAGGGUCAACAGUAUGUCUUCUUAGUUCUUGUCCAUACAAAUACUAUACUAGUUUAUUUUAAUUUUGGACAACAACAUGUUAAGUAAAAUUUAUCCUAGUAAUGAUAAUAAGAAACUCUCAUAAUAAAAAUAAAUAAUGAC